AAUGAUAUACACAAUGAAGCUCUGACUUAUACCACCACUGAGGGUUGGUCGGUACAGCAGGAGGAUCUCGUGGAGUUAUCAGCUUCCUAUCGAUCAAGGAAGGAUAAAUUUCAUCAUAUGUCAUCGGAAUCGGGUCAAAAGUUACCCUUUUCCUCUCGUAGUUGAUGGUGCUGGUGUUAUUGUUGUUGCGAGGCUGUUAGGCCUGUUGUUGUUGAUGAUG
RNAcentral lists this long non-coding RNA (220 nucleotides) under Lathyrus oleraceus (garden pea). RNAcentral describes it as "Pisum sativum (pea) long non-coding RNA (PSAT_LNC036809)". The record is from RNAcentral. Lineage: Eukaryota; Viridiplantae; Streptophyta; Magnoliopsida; Fabales; Fabaceae.